This is a non-coding RNA of Camellia sinensis, 967 nucleotides long. The record is from RefSeq and is a predicted model, not a curated record. NCBI's taxonomy places the organism in Eukaryota, Viridiplantae, Streptophyta, Magnoliopsida, Ericales, Theaceae.
CACAAUAGUGUAUCACACACACAUCUCACCAAACCUCAUAGAAAUCACCCCCUCACCGUAGUCUACCAUACGGGUGACAUUGCGAUAGCCACUGCCCCUGGCGCAAAUCACCACCAUCAUAGCGCACAUCACAGGUUUAUGAAACUCAUGCUCGUUUGGCAAUAGAAGUUGGAGACUUGGCAGAAUAUAAUCAGUGUCAAUCACAGUUGAAAACACUUUAUGCGGAGGGAAUAAGGGGUGCCACAUGGAAUUUUCUGCUUACAAUUUACUGUGUUGUCUUGCACGCCAACAAUAGCAGAGAUCUGGUAUCAGCAAUGUCAAGGUUAGCACAUCCAUCUUGCAUUUGUGUUAUUACUCAUUGAUCUUGUUUGUCAAUCUCUUAUUAUAUCAUUGCUGCUUUCGGAGUUGUUACAUUGUGUUGGUUACAAUCACUGAUAAUUUUGUUGAUUUGUUGCAGACUAAAUUUAAAUUUUAAAUUGUGUUUUGUACUUGGCUUUUUAUUUAAUACCUUGAACUGUCAUGAAAAGUUAUGUGUGGGUGGUUGACUUAUUUGUAUAUCAAAUCAUAGAUAUUUUUGUGCCCAAGUUAGAUGCACUGAAGAAAACCAUUGAAUUUUGCUAAAGUGGAAUUUCGAUGUGAGUACUUCGGAAAACUAUUGACAAUAGUAUUGCUUUUCAAUGCAUUGUUUGGUACGGAAUUUAAUUUCUUUUCAUUUUUGGUAAGACAUUUCAUUUCAGCAACUUGAUGGUUAACGUAAGACUAUUUUGAAAAUUUGAUAGUAGACUAUUGAAUGAAUGUCUAAAACCUAAUCAAACCCAACGAUGCCUUAUCCCAACUACAUGGGGGUUGAAACGUACUCUAAUCAAUCAAAAUAUAUGACUUACUGGAUGCUCAAAAUAGAGUUGGUUUAUCUUUUCUCUUCUGACUUACUUGAUAAAUAAUAUAAAAAAAAGAAAAGUAAACCCCA